GACGAACGCUGGCGGCGUGCCUAAUACAUGCAAGUCGAACGCACUCUCGUUUAGAUUGAAGGAGCUUGCUCCUGAUUGAUAAACAUUUGAGUGAGUGGCGGACGGGUGAGUAACACGUGGGUAACCUGCCCUAAAGUGGGGGAUAACAUUUGGAAACAGAUGCUAAUACCGCAUAAACCUAACACCGCAUGGUGUAGGGUUGAAAGAUGGUUUCGGCUAUCACUUUGGGAUGGACCCGCGGUGCAUUAGUUAGUUGGUGAGGUAAAGGCUCACCAAGACCGUGAUGCAUAGCCGACCUAAGAGGGUAAUCGGCCACACUGGGACUGAGACACGGCCCAGACUCCUACGGGAGGCAGCAGUA
Molecule: ribosomal RNA, 361 nt
Filed under: uncultured bacterium
Lineage: Bacteria
Description: bacterial SSU rRNA
Rfam family: Bacterial small subunit ribosomal RNA
Source: RNAcentral